RNAcentral lists this ribosomal RNA (253 nucleotides) under uncultured bacterium. Its description in RNAcentral is "partial 16S ribosomal RNA". It matches the Rfam family "Bacterial small subunit ribosomal RNA", at positions 524 to 776 of the family's 1533-position model. The record is from RNAcentral.
UACGUAGGGUGCGAGCGUUGUCCGGAAUUAUUGGGCGUAAAGGGCUCGUAGGCGGUCUGUCGCGUCGGGAGUGAAAUCCUACGGCUUAACUGUGGGCUUGCUUUCGAUACGGGCAGACUAGAGGUAUGCAGGGGAGAACGGAAUUCCUGGUGUAGCGGUGAAAUGCGCAGAUAUCAGGAGGAACACCGGUGGCGAAGGCGGUUCUCUGGGCAUGAUCUGACGCUGAGGAGCGAAAGUGUGGGGAGCGAACAGG